RNAcentral lists this unclassified non-coding RNA (297 nucleotides) under uncultured fungus. RNAcentral's name for it is "sequence contains ITS2". The stretch from base 1 to 52 matches the Rfam family "5.8S ribosomal RNA", at positions 103 to 154 of the family's 154-position model. Lineage: Eukaryota; Fungi. The record is from RNAcentral.
AACGCACCUUGCGCUCCUUGGUAUUCCGAGGAGCAUGCCUGUUUGAGUGUCAGUAAAUUCUCAACUCCUCUGGCUUUUUGUUGCUAGUUGGAGCUUGGAUAUGGAGGACAUUGCCGGCCUUGAUAGGUCAGCUCCUCUGAAAUGCAUUAGUGGAACCGUUUGCGAUCCGUCACAGGUGUGAUAAUUAUCUACGCCAGUGGGUUGCUCUCUGUAUUGUUCAGCUACCAACCGUCUGUAAAGACAACCAAUUACUGAAUAUUUGACCUCAAAUCAGGUAGGACUACCCGCUGAACUUAA